GCCUGUAUAAUUUGGUCCGCGUUCGCGUACAGUCGACAGCGCCAGGCGCCAAGUGGAGAUCCAUAUCGAUUUUGCUUUGCUGAACAGAGCUGCUGGUAAACUUCAAUGCCCUGCUGGAAUUCUGAGUGCGUGUCGUCCACCUGGUGAGGAGUCCUUGCUGCCAGCGUUUGUAAAGGCAUUGGCUAGGUAUCGGACAGUAUUAUACCAUCGGCAUUUGCUUGGACAGCUGGGAUAGGCGUUGCUUUGCAGAAAUGCAUAAACCUCGAUCGAGUUAUUCAUCGCACAAAAGGAUAAACGCCCUCAAAUGCUACGUGUGUAACGUUAAGGUCAUAGCCAAAGAUUUGCCCAGCCACAUGAAAUGUAAGCAUAUGGCGGAAUAUGACAUUCUCGCUAAAAAAAAACACGAUAUGUGGCUGGCUCUCUCAUUGAAAAAGCUGCUCAUGACAUGAGCUGUGCAUCAAUUUCUCCACGCCCAACGUUUCCCCAACAGAGCACGUCUUUUCAAGGGGUUGACUAAAGUAUCACAGUAGCCACUGGUGAAAAUACACCAGUAACAACGCCUAGUGCC
This is a long non-coding RNA of Pollicipes pollicipes, 568 nucleotides long. RefSeq lists it as uncharacterized. The transcript has 3 exons. Lineage: Eukaryota; Metazoa; Arthropoda; Thecostraca; Pollicipedomorpha; Pollicipedidae. The record is from RefSeq and is a predicted model, not a curated record.